Molecule: non-coding RNA, 92 nt
Organism: Acanthosepion pharaonis
Lineage: Eukaryota; Metazoa; Mollusca; Cephalopoda; Sepiida; Sepiidae
Source: the annotation of a GenBank genome assembly
AUACACUAGUUCCCAUAUGAUCAUCAAAGUUAAGCAAUGUCAAGCUUGGUCAUUACUUAGAUGAGUAACCACUUGGGAAUACCAGGUGCUAU